RNAcentral lists this long non-coding RNA (802 nucleotides) under Marmota monax (woodchuck). Lineage: Eukaryota; Metazoa; Chordata; Mammalia; Rodentia; Sciuridae. The record is from RNAcentral.
AAAAGAUAGGGAAAGCCAAAGGGAGGUAAUCCUUGACUCUUCAUUUCAAUUCUUCUCUUUCAUUCACUUUUCCAGGGCACAGUCCUAGCAACCCUUUCAGCUAGAUGUUGACCCAAUUAAAACAAUUCACAAACAACUCUUUUGUUAAAUGGUGCUGAGGAUUGAACCUAGGACAUCAUGUAUUCUCCCACUAGUGCUCCACCACUAAGCUACACCUCUCAACCCUACAAACAACUCUUGAAGAUUAAAUGCUGAGUCCCUACUUUGCACACAUUUCCACAAAAGUAGGAAAAGAUAAAUAUAACUCAAGUAAUUUUUAGGUUGUUUUGAAAUAUGCUAAUGGUAAAAAGUUUUGCAGGGCCCAGACCAAGAAAAAGCUAAUUUUAGCAUGAACUGGUUUAAGAUCUUGUGAUUCCCAUUCUUCCUUUUUUAGUUGUUGAUGGACCUUUAUUUUAUUUAUUUACAUGUGGUGCUGAGAAUUGAAUCUAGUGCCUCAGGUAUGCUAGGCAAGUGCUCUACCACUGAGAUACAGCCCCAGCUGAUUCCCACUCUUUUUUUUUUAAUAUCUCUAUUUUGCAUUUAUGACGUGCUGGUGCCUUGUGCAUGCUAGGCAAGUGCUCUACCACUGAGCUACAACCCCAGCCCCAUGACUCCCAUUCUUUAAUUGAUAGGAGGUAUGGAUAAUACUUUCCUUUGGGAGACCAUGUUAUUCUUUGCCCAUAUGAGCAGUUUCCCUACUUUUUCUUCCCAUUCUGCUUUCCUUCCUUCUGUAACACACAAAUAACAAAACUUCAACUAGUCA